Molecule: ribosomal RNA, 1343 nt
Filed under: uncultured bacterium
Lineage: Bacteria
Description: 16S ribosomal RNA
Rfam family: Bacterial small subunit ribosomal RNA
Source: RNAcentral
GACGAACGCUGGCGGCGUGCUUAACACAUGCAAGUCGAACGGAAAGGCCCUGCUUUUGUGGGGUGCUCGAGUGGCGAACGGGUGAGUAACACGUGAGUAACCUGCCCUUGACUUUGGGAUAACUUCAGGAAACUGGGGCUAAUACCGGAUAGGAGCUCCUGCUGCAUGGUGGGGGUUGGAAAGUUUCGGCGGUUGGGGAUGGACUCGCGGCUUAUCAGCUUGUUGGUGGGGUAGUGGCUUACCAAGGCUUUGGCGGGUAGCCGGCCUGAGAGGGUGACCGGCCACAUUGGGACUGAGAUACGGCCCAGACUCCUACGGGAGGCAGCAGUGGGGAAUAUUGCACAAUGGGCGGAAGCCUGAUGCAGCAACGCCGCGUGCGGGGUGACGGCCUUCGGGUUGUAAACCGCUUUCGCCUGUGACGAAGCGUGAGUGACGGUAAUGGGUAAAGAAGCACCGGCUAACUACGUGCCAGCAGCCGCGGUGAUACGUAGGGUGCGAGCGUUGUCCGGAUUUAUUGGGCGUAAAGGGCUCGUAGGUGGUUGAUCGCGUCGGAAGUGUAAUCUUGGGGCUUAACCCUGAGCGUGCUUUCGAUACGGGUUGACUUGAGGAAGGUAGGGGAGAAUGGAAUUCCUGGUGGAGCGGUGGAAUGCGCAGAUAUCAGGAGGAACACCAGUGGCGAAGGCGGUUCUCUGGGCCUUUCCUGACGCUGAGGAGCGAAAGCGUGGGGAGCGAACAGGCUUAGAUACCCUGGUAGUCCACGCUGUAAACGGUGGGUACUAGGUGUGGGGUCCAUUCCACGGGUUCCGUGCCGUAGCUAACGCUUUAAGUACCCCGCCUGGGGAGUACGGCCGCAAGGCUAAAACUCAAAGGAAUUGACGGGGCCCCGCACAAGCGGCGGAGCAUGCGGAUUAAUUCGAUGCAACGCGUAGAACCUUACCUGGGUUUGACAUGGAUCGGGAGUGCUCAGAGAUGGGUGUGCCUCUUUUGGGGUCGGUUCACAGGUGGUGCAUGGCUGUCGUCAGCUCGUGUCGUGAGAUGUUGGGUUAAGUCCCGCAACGAGCGCAACCCUUGUUCACUGUUGCCAGCACGUUAUGGUGGGGACUCAGUGGAGACCGCCGGGGUCAACUCGGAGGAAGGUGGGGAUGACGUCAAGUCAUCAUGCCCCUUAUGUCCAGGGCUUCACGCAUGCUACAAUGGCUGGUACAGAGAGUGGCGAGCCUGUGAGGGUGAGCGAAUCUCGGAAAGCCGGUCUCAGUUCGGAUUGGGGUCUGCAACUCGACCUCAUGAAGUCGGAGUCGCUAGUAAUCGCAGAUCAGCAACGCUGCGGUGAAUACGUUCCCGGG